This 217-nucleotide ribosomal RNA is filed under the name uncultured bacterium. RNAcentral describes it as "partial 16S ribosomal RNA". It matches the Rfam family "Bacterial small subunit ribosomal RNA", at positions 118 to 334 of the family's 1533-position model. The record is from RNAcentral.
UAUCCAACCUGCCGUCUACUCUUGGCCAGCCUUCUGAAAGGAAGAUUAAUCCAGGAUGGCAUCAUGAGUUCACAUGUCCGCAUGAUUAAAGGUAUUUUCCGGUAGACGAUGGGGAUGCGUUCCAUUAGAUAGUAGGCGGGGUAACGGCCCACCUAGUCAACGAUGGAUAGGGGUCUGAGAGGAAGGUCCCCCACAUUGGAACUGAGACACGGUCCAA